AGUAAUGUAUGGGGAUCUGCCUGAUGGCGGGGGAUAACUACUGGAAACGGUAGCUAAUACCGCAUAAUGUCUGCGGACCAAAGCGGGGGGACCUCCGGGCCUCGCGCCAUCAGAUGAACCCAUAUGGGAUUAGCUAGUAGGUGAGGUAACGGCUUACCUAGGCGACGAUCCCUAGCUGGUCUGAGAGGAUGAUCAGCCACACUGGGACUGAGACACGGUCCAG
RNAcentral lists this ribosomal RNA (223 nucleotides) under uncultured bacterium. RNAcentral describes it as "partial 16S ribosomal RNA". It matches the Rfam family "Bacterial small subunit ribosomal RNA", at positions 109 to 334 of the family's 1533-position model. The record is from RNAcentral.